UGGGGAAUUUUGGACAAUGGGCGCAAGCCUGAUCCAGCCAUGCCGCGUGCGGGAAGAAGGCCUUCGGGUUGUAAACCGCUUUUGUCAGGGAAGAAAUCUUCUGGGUUAAUACCUCGGGAGGAUGACGGUACCUGAAGAAUAAGCACCGGCUAACUACGUGCCAGCAGCCGUGGUAAUACGUAGGGUGCAAGCGUUAAUCGGAAUUACUGGGCGUAAAGCGUGCGCAGGCGGUUUUGUAAGACAGAGGUGAAAUCCCCGGGCUCAACUGGGAACUGCCUUUGUGACUGCAAGGCUUGAGUGCGGCAGAGGGGGAUGGAAUUCCGCGUGUAGCAGUGAAAUGCGUAGAUAUGCGGAGGAACACCGAUGGCGAAGGCAAUCCCCUGGGCCUGCACUGACGCUCAUGCACGAAAGCGUGGGGAGCAAACAGGAUUAGAUACCCUGGUAGUCCACGCCCUAAACGAUGUCAACUGGUUGUUGGGAAGGUUCCUUCUCAGUAACGUAGCUAACGCGUGAAGUUGACCGCCUGGGGAGUACGGCCGCAAGGUUGAAACUCAAAUGAA
This 560-nucleotide ribosomal RNA is filed under the name uncultured bacterium. Its description in RNAcentral is "partial 16S ribosomal RNA". It matches the Rfam family "Bacterial small subunit ribosomal RNA", at positions 355 to 909 of the family's 1533-position model. The record is from RNAcentral.